Molecule: ribosomal RNA, 1506 nt
Filed under: metagenome
Description: bacterial SSU rRNA
Rfam family: Bacterial small subunit ribosomal RNA
Source: RNAcentral
AGAGUUUGAUCAUGGCUCAGGACGAACGCUGGCGGCGUGCCUAAUACAUGCAAGUAGAACGCUGAAGAGAGGAGCUUGCUCUUCUUGGAUGAGUUGCGAACGGGUGAGUAACGCGUAGGUAACCUGCCUUGUAGCGGGGGAUAACUAUUGGAAACGAUAGCUAAUACCGCAUAACAAUGGAUGACACAUGUCAUUUAUUUGAAAGGGGCAAUUGUUCCACUACAAGAUGGACCUGCGUUGUAUUAGCUAGUAGGUGAGGUAAUGGCUCACCUAGGCGACGAUACAUAGCCGACCUGAGAGGGUGAUCGGCCACACUGGGACUGAGACACGGCCCAGACUCCUACGGGAGGCAGCAGUAGGGAAUCUUCGGCAAUGGGGGCAACCCUGACCGAGCAACGCCGCGUGAGUGAAGAAGGUUUUCGGAUCGUAAAGCUCUGUUGUAAGUCAAGAACGGGUGUGAGAGUGGAAAGUUCACACUGUGACGGUAGCUUACCAGAAAGGGACGGCUAACUACGUGCCAGCAGCCGCGGUAAUACGUAGGUCCCGAGCGUUGUCCGGAUUUAUUGGGCGUAAAGCGAGCGCAGGCGGUUUGAUGAGUCUGAAGUUAAAGGCUGUGGCUCAACCAUAGUUCGCUUUGGAAACUGUCAAACUUGAGUGCAGAAGGGGAGAGUGGAAUUCCAUGUGUAGCGGUGAAAUGCGUAGAUAUAUGGAGGAACACCGGUGGCGAAAGCGGCUCUCUGGUCUGUAACUGACGCUGAGGCUCGAAAGCGUGGGGAGCGAACAGGAUUAGAUACCCUGGUAGUCCACGCCGUAAACGAUGAGUGCUAGGUGUUGGAUCCUUUCCGGGAUUCAGUGCCGCAGCUAACGCAUUAAGCACUCCGCCUGGGGAGUACGACCGCAAGGUUGAAACUCAAAGGAAUUGACGGGGGCCCGCACAAGCGGUGGAGCAUGUGGUUUAAUUCGAAGCAACGCGAAGAACCUUACCAGGUCUUGACAUCCCGAUGCUAUUUCUAGAGAUAGAAAGUUACUUCGGUACAUCGGUGACAGGUGGUGCAUGGUUGUCGUCAGCUCGUGUCGUGAGAUGUUGGGUUAAGUCCCGCAACGAGCGCAACCCCUAUUGUUAGUUGCCAUCAUUCAGUUGGGCACUCUAGCGAGACUGCCGGUAAUAAACCGGAGGAAGGUGGGGAUGACGUCAAAUCAUCAUGCCCCUUAUGACCUGGGCUACACACGUGCUACAAUGGUUGGUACAACGAGUUGCGAGUCGGUGACGGCGAGCCAAUCUCUUAAAGCCAAUCUCAGUUCGGAUUGUAGGCUGCAACUCGCCUACAUGAAGUCGGAAUCGCUAGUAAUCGCGGAUCAGCACGCCGCGGUGAAUACGUUCCCGGGCCUUGUACACACCGCCCGUCACACCACGAGAGUUUGUAACACCCGAAGUCGGUGAGGUAACCUUUUGGAGCCAGCCGCCUAAGGUGGGACAGAUGAUUGGGGUGAAGUCGUAACAAGGUA